CAAUAGCGUAUAUUAAAGUUGUUGCAGUUAAAAAGCUCGUAGUUGGAUUUCUGGCAGGAUGACUUUGCCCUCUGUAGAGUGCGCAAUGCUGUCCUACCAUCCUUCUGUUAACCCUGGAGGCCUUUAACAGCUUGUAGGGGCGUCAGAUAUUUUACCUUUGAGAAAAUUAAGAGUGUUUCUAGGCAGGCUAGCGCCGGAAUACAUUAGCAUGGAAUAAUAGAAUAGGACUUUUGUCCUCUUCUGUUGGUCUGAGGGGUGGUAAGUAAUGAUUAAUAGGGACAGUUGGGGGUAGUUCGUAUUUCGUUGUCAGAGGUGAAAUUCUUGGAUUUCCGAAAGACGAACUACUGCGAAAGCAUUUACCAAGGAUGUUUUCAUUAAUCAAGAACGAAAGUUAGGGGAGUCGAAGACGAUUAGA
RNAcentral lists this ribosomal RNA (415 nucleotides) under uncultured eukaryote. Its description in RNAcentral is "bacterial SSU rRNA". It matches the Rfam family "Eukaryotic small subunit ribosomal RNA", at positions 592 to 1012 of the family's 1831-position model. The record is from RNAcentral.